CCGGCCAGCAGGUCGACCUCCUCAGCCCCCGGGCUCGGCUGGGACCGGAGAGCAGGUGGAAAUCCUCAUCCCCCAGCUGAAUUGGGGGGCUGAGAUAAUAAAGCCUGUGGCAUAGAGCAAGGAGGGAAGAGAAACAACCGCUGGAAAUAAGUCAGACAGCUGAUGCAGUAUCUACCAGUCCCUGUGAAAAUGGGGUGCAGAGUCAGCUGAAGAGAGCGCGCGCCGCUUGAAGGAGGCUCUUCUUCCUCUGACCUCGCUGGCCUCUUCGGAUCGCACUUGGGACCUCUGGGAUCAGGCUCGCUUGGCUUUGUCAAGAUUCCUUUGGACUUUCCAGUCAGCUAUAAAGGAAGCUUGCCAGGCGGUUGCAAAAUUUCUGAACUUCUUAUUGG
Talpa occidentalis (Iberian mole) is the source of this 389-nucleotide long non-coding RNA. RefSeq lists it as uncharacterized. The transcript is spliced from 3 exons. The record is from RefSeq and is a predicted model, not a curated record. NCBI's taxonomy places the organism in Eukaryota, Metazoa, Chordata, Mammalia, Eulipotyphla, Talpidae.